UACGUAGGGCGCAAGCGUUAUCCGGAAUUAUUGGGCGUAAAGAGCUCGUAGGCGGUUUGUCGCGUCUGCUGUGAAAACUGGGGGCUCAACCCCCAGCCUGCAGUGGGUACGGGCAGACUAGAGUGCGGUAGGGGAGACUGGAAUUCCUGGUGUAGCGGUGAAAUGCGCAGAUAUCAGGAGGAACACCGAUGGCGAAGGCAGGUCUCUGGGCCAUAACUGACGCUGAGAAGCGAAAGCAUGGGGAGCGAACAGG
Molecule: ribosomal RNA, 253 nt
Filed under: uncultured bacterium
Lineage: Bacteria
Description: partial 16S ribosomal RNA
Rfam family: Bacterial small subunit ribosomal RNA
Source: RNAcentral